Long non-coding RNA from Labrus mixtus (cuckoo wrasse), 2083 nucleotides. RefSeq lists it as uncharacterized. The transcript has 3 exons. NCBI's taxonomy places the organism in Eukaryota, Metazoa, Chordata, Actinopteri, Labriformes, Labridae. The record is from RefSeq and is a predicted model, not a curated record.
CUCUGAUUACUCAUUUUCACACACACACACACACACACACACACACACACACACACACACACACACACACACACACACACACACACACACACACACACACACACACACACACACACACACAUAUAUAGCCUACACAAGGGGUUAUUUUUAGCCACUGCCGCACUCUUUGCCCUGUGCUCUGUCUCUCUCUGCCCUAGUCUUAUUCUUUUUUUUCCCUCUCUACAGGGAAUGAGAAGGACAGCGAUUCAUCAGAUCGUUCUCACUAUAUUUUUGGGACAAGUAAAGUAAACCAGAGAUCCAGACAGUAAAGUAAAUGAGGCAAUUUCUACUUUGGUCGCCCCAUCACGUUUCUCAUGUAACAUGUCGAUUGUCGAUAAUAAUUGUAUCCAGACAUGAGCCUGCAAUCAAUACGCUCUUGUACUCCCAAUUGAUUUAUGCUUCAGUGCUGCUAAAAUUAUCUGCAGUUUUAUUGACGACUUCAUCUUACAUUUUUCUUCUCACGUGGUCAGACACAUGUGACUGUACAUGGAGACUAACUGUAUAGUGCCAGUGACGUCUUCCCUAAGGCACACAGAAACUGUCAUAACCCACUGCAGUGUUAAUAUACUGUAUACUGCCACUCUUUUCUACUGCAUGUCUCUUUUAAAACACAUGCAAACGCUCUCUUAGGGAUAGAAAAAAAACACUGAUACAGAACAGAUAAGAUGAGAUAUGACAAAUAAUCUGAUGUGUCCCAGUACCAAAAAAAUGUAAAGAUCCACAAUAAAUAUGUUAACAAAAUACAUGUUUUUGGCAUCAGUAUACAAAAUAAAUUAAAUGUAAAUAAAUUAAUACAUCAAACUACAAAGCAAUGAAAGACAAAACAUAGUCCAAAAUUGUGUGUUUUUUAUUAGAUGCAAAAUAGACAUAGGCCUACAAGAGCACUUCAACAGAUAACAAAAAAAAAUGUGUAAUUAUAAUAUAGUGAGAAUAUAUUUUAAUUUUAUUCAAAGCACAGAGAAUGCAAUCAAUCUCAAUGUGAGAGCAAUUAAAUCAUCGUUAAAAUUAAGGAUCAUGAAUAAUAAAUAACUGAACAGCCUCCGUAGUCACUGAGUGAAGCUAGUCAUUACACAACAGUGGAUUAAUAUUAACGUGAAGGUGGCAUUUUUUCAACAAAUGUAUGAGAAAUAUCAGGAUGCAUCUUUAUUUAAAAAAAAGAAAUACAAGUUAUGAUUUUAAAAUACGUUUUCUGGUGCUAAUUAAAGGAAACCAGCAUAAUUAUCAUUGCAUUGUGUUGUUUCCUCUUCUGUCCCUGUAUAUGUAGAUUCAUCAAGAACACCCAGAAAAUGAACAACUUAUAUUCCCCAAACCUUUUUGUUUUUAUUCAACUCUUCAUUAGGUGCAGAGAAGCCGGUACUUGUAGAGGAGCAGAGAGACAAGAGGACAGAGGCAGAGAGAGCAACAGGGUGUCCGGUCAAACAUGAGACUCUUGUAGGAUGAUGUAGGAGUUUGGUGUGGUGCCUAAAAUAAGAAGAAAGCCAAAGCUUCAACAGAAAUCCCAUUCAACUUAUCCCAAAGGGAUUAAAUGCAGUAUUUCAAGUCUGUGGGGACAACAGUGAAGAGGAUCAAAGGAACAGCACUGAAGAUUUGAGCCAAAGUUGCCUGCAAUAUCACAUCCACUGAUACUCUAUACUCUUGGCCACCUCUCAUAGUCUGUAGUAUUUGAACAAGUGUGGAAAUUGAUUUGGCUCUGUCAGAAAAAGGUUCCAUUUGUUUAGUUGAACUUACGUUAUUAAAAGUCAGUGAAUUUCUAAUUCUUAUAUAGAUUAGAGAUCAACAUCUGUUUAGUUAGAUUUCAUACAUUGUAACCUAUAAAGACUUUUAACUCAUCCACAAAUGUAAGUAACCGAUGAAUCAGAAUCAGCUUUAUUGGCCAGGCAUGCUCACACGUGCAAGGAAUUUGACUUAGAUAGACUGUGCUCUAAUUAAACAAAUUUCAAUUCUGUGCCUUCCCUAUUUAAAUGAUGUUUGCAAUCUGUCUCUUGAUGACCCUGAUGAACGCCACAAGCCGAAACGGGUCGCUCUAAUUUGUUAAUAAAGUUGA